UACAGAGGUCUCAAGCGUUGUUCGGAAUCACUGGGCGUAAAGGGUGCGUAGGCUGCACGGUAAGUCAGAUGUGAAAUCCCAGGGCUCAACUCUGGAAUUGCAUCCGAUACUGCCGUGCUUGAGGACUGGAGAGGAGUCUGGAAUUCAUGGUGGAGCAGUGAAAUGCGUAGAUAUCAUGAGGAACGCUAGUGGCGUAGGCGAGACUCUGGACAGUUCCUGACGCUGAGGCGCGAAAGCGUGGGGAGCAAACAGG
This 253-nucleotide ribosomal RNA is filed under the name uncultured bacterium. Its description in RNAcentral is "partial 16S ribosomal RNA". It matches the Rfam family "Bacterial small subunit ribosomal RNA", at positions 524 to 776 of the family's 1533-position model. The record is from RNAcentral.